AGUUUGAUCCUGGCUCAGAAUGAACGCUGGCGGUAGGCUUAACACCUGCAAGUCGAACGGAAACGAUGAAAAGCUUGCUUUCUUGCUGACGAGUGGCGGACGGGUGAGUAAUGUAUGGGAAUCUGCCCUCUAGUUGGGGACAACAUAUGGAAACGUAUGCUAAUACCGAAUGUGAUCUACGGAUUAAAGGUGCCCUCUCCUUGGAAGGUAUCGCUAGAGGAUGAGCCCAUAUUAGAUUAGCUAGUUGGUGGGGUAAAGGCCUACCAAGGCGACGAUCUAUAGCUGGUUUGAGAGGAUGAUCAGCCACACUGGGACUGAGACACGGCCCAGACUCCUACGGGAGGCAGCAGUGGGGAAUAUUGCACAAUGAGGGAAACCUUGAUGCAGCCAUGCCGCGUGUGUGAAGAANGNCCGAGGGUUGUAAGCACUUUCAAUUGUGAGGAAGCUAAGUAGCUAAUACCUGCUUAGUGUGACGUUACUUUUAAAGAAGCACCGGCUAACUCUGUGCCANCANCCGCGG
RNAcentral lists this ribosomal RNA (520 nucleotides) under uncultured bacterium. Its description in RNAcentral is "bacterial SSU rRNA". It matches the Rfam family "Bacterial small subunit ribosomal RNA", at positions 10 to 520 of the family's 1533-position model. The record is from RNAcentral.